GAGCAUUCAGCGUCUGGGGCUAGGAACACUGAGUAUCCUACAUUGCGUUGGACAGUUUCAUCCAGUUAAGAUUUGUCCCACCCCAAAUGCCAAUAGCUGGGUUAGCUGACCCUCAGAACCCAAAGAUGGACAACUCAACCAGCCGGCUCUGUUUGUGAGGGGCUUUGAAGAACACUAGGAAAACUCAGAGAAGUCAUCCCAAUGUGCACUCCGAGGGCCUCAGAUUCUACCACCAGAGCUCUGUUUGGGGAUCAGGAAGCCUGUCAGCCUUGUCCUAAUGGUACCCGUAUGAAAUACAAACACCCAAGAAGAGGUCAAGUCAUGAGCAUUGUCAGCCAUAACUAGGAUUUCAACUCUUAUUGAUAAUUCUGAUAAGAGUGCAGAGUGUGCUGUGAUGCUCUAAAAAAAAUACAGAUUCCUGGGUAUGAUUCAGUAGACAUGGUCACCAGCCGCAAUGAUCCCUGGCCCCUGAUAGUCACACCUUUGUGUGGUCCCUUCUGCACCGGUGUGUGCAACCGACAUAUAGCAUGUGGCAGAGGGAUAGCACGUCACUUCCGAGAUUACGUUAUAAAAGAUCGGGACUUCUGUGUUGGAUGCUCGCCCUUCUCACCUGUUCUCGUUCUCUCUCUCUCUCUCUCUCUCUCAGAUCACUUGCUUUGGAGGAAGCCAGCUGUCAGGGUGUGAGGACACUCAAGCAGUUUAUGAAGAGGUCCACGUGGCAAGGAACUGAAGCCUUUUGCCAACAACCAAGGUGGAAGUGAAGGAGCCGUGUGAGGGGGCCAGGAUGGAAGGAGGCCCUCCAGCCGCAGUCAAGCCUUCAGAUGGCUGCAACCCUGGCCAUCAGCCAGGAGAGUCCAGGAGAGACCCUGAGCCAGAACCCCAGCCAAGCUCCUCCCAGGUCCCUGGCCCUCUGAAAGGUCCCUCCAUGCUGAAGGCCAUCUCCCCUCACCACCCAAGGAAAAGUGACCUCGGGAAUUCUGGCAGAUCCCACACAGGCAGGACGAUGGAAAAAGGAGCCGUGGUCAAUGGUGUCAGCAUGGAGUUGAAUUGUGGGACACUCCACUGGCAUCAGAAAACUGCUUGGUGGCGAUGGAAAAAACCCCACACACAUCAGAACUGGUGUCAGAAUCGGACCAUGUGACUCAGCAAUUCCGUUUCCCAGGCACCUACCCGGAAGAGUUGAAAAUAGGGACUCAACAAAUACUUGCACACGAAUGUUCAUAGCAGAAUAAUUGACAAGAGCCAAAGCGUGGAAAGAACUCAAACGCCCAUCAGCAGAUGAAUGGAUGGACAACGAGUGACAGACCCACAUGAUGAAAUACACGCCACAGUGUGGACGAACCUCAAAAUUUUAUGCUGAGUGAAAGACGCUAGGCCCAAAAGGCCACAUAUGAUCCCACGCAUCUAAAUAACCAGAAGAGAGAAAUUCACAGAAACAGAAAGCAGAUCGGUGGGUGCCAGGAAUAAGAAGGAAAUGGAGAGUCACCGCUUAGCGGACAUCGAUUUUAUUCUGGGGGGGUUGAAAAUGUUUUGGAACUACGUAGAGGGGAUAGUUACACACUAUUAUGAAAAUAUGAAAUGACACGCAAUUGAACGCUUUAAAAUGGUUAAUGUGGGGGGCGCCUGGUUGGUUCAGUGGGUUGAGCAUCCGGCUGUUGGUUUUGGCUCAGGUCAGGGUCUUGUGGUUUGUGACACUGAGCCCCGCCCGUGCUGGGCUCCAUAGCACGGAGCCUGCAGGCUUCUCUCUCUCCCUCUCUCUCAGCCCCUGCCUGCCCUGCUCGAACUCACAUGUGUACGCGCUCUCGCUCCAAAAUAAACUUGAGAAGAUGAGACAACCCGGUAUAAAAUCAAACACUACACCAGGGGUUCUCAAAGUGGGGCCCCUGGACCAGCAGCACCAACGUCCCCUGGGAACUUGUUGUGGGUGGAGAGCCUCUCCAGACACCAGCCACCUGUGUGUUCCCAGUGCAGCAGAGAUGCCUGCCCGCCCAGGGAAGGGCCCCUCUCUGCCCCGGGACAGCUGUAACCCUACCCACCCCUGUAUAAAAGCCCCUGGUCACCCCUUACCCUUCCCGGUCGAUGUGUGGCAGGGUCGGCUUGGGCGUGUGUCUCAGCUUCCGGUGGAACUGCGUGAAGUCCAGCUUUUCGGGCUGCAGGUCCCAGGUGGCACCACUAGAGGGCGAGAAAAGGUGAGAAAGGUGAGGCAAGGGGGAGACCAGCCCAGUUACCUAUGGCACCAGACAGCUGGGCACAAGCCUGGCAGGGAGCGUCUUCACAAAGAGGUGGGCAGGCUGGGGAGGACACCCACCAGCCCAGGGCAGGGUCGACAGAGACCCCUCCCUCAGAAUGGAGCUGGCGGUGUCAGCUCUGUGUUCAGAUAGUGGGGCGGGAGGCUCCCCAUUCCUCAACCCUGCUGUACAGCAAUGCA
Long non-coding RNA from Acinonyx jubatus (cheetah), 2428 nucleotides. RefSeq lists it as uncharacterized. Lineage: Eukaryota; Metazoa; Chordata; Mammalia; Carnivora; Felidae. The transcript is spliced from 3 exons. The record is from RefSeq and is a predicted model, not a curated record.